AAAUCUUAUCGCAAUCUAAGUAUAAACAAUUGUUAUGAGAAAGAAAACUCAAAAGAUAAGAGGUUGUACUAAGUACUGAUAAUAUUUA
RNAcentral lists this non-coding RNA (88 nucleotides) under human gut metagenome. RNAcentral's name for it is "PGK RNA". It matches the Rfam family "PGK RNA". Rfam says of the family: mammalian gut metagenomes. Environment (Cow rumen (57)) The record is from RNAcentral. RNAcentral also lists the same sequence under 1 other name.